Molecule: transfer RNA, 74 nt
Filed under: Jaapia argillacea MUCL 33604
Lineage: Eukaryota; Fungi; Basidiomycota; Agaricomycetes; Jaapiales; Jaapiaceae
Description: tRNA-Ala (AGC) (tRNA-Ala-AGC-4-1)
Rfam family: tRNA
About the family: Transfer RNA (tRNA) molecules are approximately 80 nucleotides in length.
Source: RNAcentral
GGGUGGCUGGUGUAGUUGGUUAUCACGCCCGCUUAGCAUGCGGGAGGGGAGGAGUUCAAUUCUCCUGUUGUCCA